This is a small nucleolar RNA of Piliocolobus tephrosceles (Ugandan red Colobus), 136 nucleotides long. Its record names the gene U8. It matches the Rfam family "U8 small nucleolar RNA". Rfam says of the family: U8 is a member of the C/D class of snoRNA which contain the C (UGAUGA) and D (CUGA) box motifs. The record is from Ensembl. NCBI's taxonomy places the organism in Eukaryota, Metazoa, Chordata, Mammalia, Primates, Cercopithecidae.
GGGUCACGUGGAAUAAUUCUUAUCUGUUUCUCCUUUUGAAGGGCAGAUUAGAACAUGAUAAUUGGAGUUCAUAUGAUACAUGAUUAAAGUCUCUGGGUAAUCGCAACUUAACAAUACCCUGAUUAUUUCACCUUAU